CUUCUCUUACCGUUCAUUCUUUCUAUCAGCGCCUCAGCGUUAUCGUUAUCGAUCCUUCUCCGCCAAUCCUAAUGGUCUAUUCAGAUCCGUUGUCAAUGUUUUCAUUCUAUGCUUCUCCUUGUUCGAUUCGGCCAGAUCUCUUCGAGAUCUACAUAUACAUGGCAGUUUCGACGGAGAAACGUUUUGGGAACUCGGAUAGCUGAUUCAUCGAGAUUUAGAUUUCGAUUCAAGGUAUGGCGGUGAUGAUCGUAUCAGAUCCAAAAGACGAGGUUCGUAGCCAAGGCGUUACCGAUUAGAUUAAGAUCUGAUUAUGUGGCAACAGAUCUUUUGUGAAGAAGAUCGCGGCGGCUAAAUAAGAUGUUGUAUCACCGUGUAAUUGUAAAAAAAAUGGAUAGUUUGGGAUGCACAGAUUAAGCGAGGGUGUUUCUGGUUGGUUUUGUUUUAUAUGGGUGUAGAAGAUGUUGGAACAAAAGGCCUAUGGAGGCUGAGUUCUGAUCUAUCUUUGUCAUCCCGACCUUUGCCAUGACAGGUGCGCUUGCAUGGCAGGUCACCCAAUUCUUAAUAAAAAAAAGUAACAAUUUUUUGGUUUCGAGGGAUGAACCGCACGGGGAUUGCCCGGGGUCUUCCCUCCGGUGUGCUGUGUGCUUUUCGUUUUUUGCUUUCUCUUCCUAUAUAAAUUCGCUGCUCACCCGACGAAAAGGAUACAAGUCUGCAACUCAAAACAUCGUCUGCCAAAGGUAUACUCUUAUCAAUCCGCUAGGUUUUAAGGUUUAUUUCAUUUACUUCACAAUAGAUCGAGAUGAAUUAGAUUUGUUUGAGUUAGCGAUUUUUUAUCAGGCCUAAGUUUAAAUUUAGCGCUUAGGCCACAUUUUAAGGCUAAAGCAAUCCUUUUUUCCUUCACAUCAAGAUUGAUGUAGACCAUUAACUUGAAAAGCCGGUACAAAUAUAUCACGCUCUAGUAAUUUUAUUAUGUAUGAUUUUUGAAGUUUAUCUGCUUUAUCCAUUUUUAUCAGUCAUAAUUUUUGGUGGUUUAAGGCUAGCUUAAUUUUAUUAGAAGAUUUCAGAGAACAAUUAAAUUUUUUAAUAUUCUGUGGGAUCUGCUUUAUAAAUUUUUUAUCAUUCAUUAAGGUGUUCCGAUUCUAAAUUUUUUUCUCAAUAGUUAAAAGUUUUCCAAUUCUGUAGCUUAUAUUGGACGAAUUCGGACAUACCAAUUUUUUAAAUAUUCAAUUUUAAAAAAGUUUUGGCAUGAUGUUUUGUCAUUUGUCAUUUACAGUUUGCGAUUAAUGGAGUCCAAAUACAUCUUGGCCUUGGAGCAUAUACAGUUAUGAUAGUACAAUUUCUAACUUCGACAGAUAAAUUGCGUUCUGUAUUGUUCGACGUUCUAUUUUUUUUUACAAUAAUUUAAUUUUAACCGCCAGUAAGCCUGCUUUAGACGUGAUAGCGUAUAUUUCCUGCAACAUGUGCGUUAAUCCCACUGCAACACGAAUAGAUCCAGCUACCUUCUAGCAAAUAAUAUUCGGUGCCCUGUUUCUGCAUAUUUGUUUACCUGGUUUGUUCUGUUGCCUACAGCAUAUUUGAUUUGGGUAAAUUUUUUGAAUUGAUUACCUAGUUCUCAGAGCUACUUCGUUUGCAGUUGGUUCUUGUUCCCACUGUAUUGUUGUACUUUUAACGCGUGUAUAUUGUGGCGGCGUUAAGAAUGUAAUCUGAUGCAACCGUUUGGUUGUGAACUGGUUGUACAUGUAUAUUGUUAUGUUUUGUGUCUUCUAGCUCAAGACGUGUAUCGGCCUGCUUUGGUCUGGCUGAAGUCAGUUGCAGCGUAGACUGCUGACGUUUGUGCAGAACGAACCGAAGGAUAAUAUUGUGGUUCUCUCAUACCGCUAGCUGCGAAGGAAGACUGCUUCGAUGAAGUUUUUGACUGUUUCUUCAAUGAGCUUGCAAAAGCAUUCGUCCAGAGGUGACUAUUGUGUUAUCAACACCCUCUAUCGUUGACUUUUUGGAUGGAUACAUCAUUUCCAUCUAUUUUCAUUUUUUGAUUAUAUGAAGCAAGAUUUUCUUAAUUUUUUAUUCUUAUUUAUUGAUUUUUAUGGAUUCAUUUUUAUAGUAAUCUUCUUUGAUGUAUUUUGUUGAUUAUUCUUGUUAUUAUUAUUUUGUGAUUAUUAUUAUGUUAGUGUAAUUUUCAUAGUAAUGUUCUUUGAUGUAUUUUGUUUAUUAUUAUUACUAAUAUUGUGAUUAUUAUUGUUUGUUAUAAUGUAAUCUUGUUAUUAUUAUUUUGUGAUUAUUAUUAUGUUAGUGUAAUUUUCAUAGUAAUGUUCUUUGAUGUAUUUUGUUUAUUAUUAUUACUAAUAUUGUGAUUAUUAUUGUUUGUUAUAAUGUAAUUUUACUAUUUCUGUAAAUUCUUAAAAAAGUGUUAUUUACUUUUUGAUGGGGAAGCUGUGUCAAAAUUAUUCUGCGGCAUGGUGUGGUGUUUUGCUCGCUCCCCUGAUCCGCUUGAUUAUUGGAUAUUUGCGCCAUGAUUUUGAGUGGUCCAGAAUCUUUCCUAUUUGCUACAUUUAAAAAAUGGGUUUGGUUCUGUUUGGUUGAAGAAAUAAAUUUUUUGUCAAAUGAAUUUUUUUUUAUCCAAGUUCAAAGCUGUUUUGUGUUUAGCCCCCGAAAAAAUGUGAACGGAAUUGGUAUGGAAGUUAAUUUUUUUUUUUUGGAAUAGUUGUUUUAAAAUAGAUUUGCACCCCUUUUCUUAUAUUUUUGCCCUCUUGGUUUUUAUAACUACUAUUUCUAAUUUUAAAAGGUGGGUUUGGUUCGCUUUGUUUAAGGGAAAAAAAAAUGUAAAAUGAGAACAAAGCGGGGUAUCUAAUUUUGAUGUUUUAAUUGUGCCAAGAAAUGUACGAUAUAUGUUUUUUACUAUACGAAUUAUAAAAUCUAAUUUUGAUGUUUUAAUUGUGCCGGUGUUUUAAAUUAUUAUUUUUUUUUUGGAAUAAUUGUUUUAAAAUAGAUUUGCUCCCCUUCUUAUAUUUUUGCCCUCUUGAUUUUUAUAACUCUAGUACUAUUUCUAAUUGUAAAAAGUGGGUUUGGUUCGCUUUGUUGAAGGGAAAAAAAAAUGUAAAAUGAGAACAAAGCGGGGCAUCUAAUUUUGAUGUUUUAAUUGUGCCGGUGUGUUAAAUGUGCCGAGAAAUGUACGAUAUAUGUUUAUUACUAUUCGAAUUAUAAAAUUAGUAUAAUAUUUGCUAUGUGAAUCACAAUGGAAUGGUGUUUAAAAUUAAGAGUUUUUUUCUUAUAUGAAUCACAAGAGAAAUAUAUUUUGAGAAUGGCGCCGCUGUUGGGGAGACUUAUUUUGUGCGUUUUCAUGUAUUAGAAUUCAAAUGGUAGUUAUUUUAGUUUAUUACCAGCAAAGGCUAUUAAUAAGUUGAAAGAAAUUAUUAGUUACAUAGAUUCAAAAUUUAUAUAUAAUAUUAGUGUUUUGAAUUUGAAACUGUUGGAACAAUAAUGUUUUUUGUAGUAGAGAUUAUUGUGCCCCAAUUUUUCUGAUAGAUCUGUAAGCUCGAACGGUCAGAGCGCUCAAAUCCAAUUUGGCUUUUGAGAGGAUGGUGGUUCGAAUCCACCCGGAUCUGAAAUGUUAAUUUCAUCUGUAAGAAGAGAGCGGGGGCUAAUCCAAUUUUGGCUUCUGAGAUUAGAACGUUUUGCUUUGAAGUGGUUAAUCCAUGCUUAGUUGUGCUUAUCAGAAAAAAAAAAUUUAAUAAUGAGACUUGUUGAAUUGUAUAUUUAAGAAGUUUAUUCAUUUAAUGGAAUUUUUCUUGUGACGUUUGCUUGAAAAUGUGUUGUUUACCUAUACAUUUUUUGAAAUCCUAUAAUUCUUGUAUUCCCCUAUUUUAACCAUGACAAUUCUUUUAUAAUAAUGAUUGAAUUUAAAAAAUAUUCGUAUGUUUGAUUUGGUCCAUAAAAAAUGUUAAAAAUAUUUUCACAAGUCUCUUGCUAAAUAGAAAAAAAAAAUUCAAAAAUUAGCAAAAAUGAUGAAAAACAGAAAAAAAAAGAAUCUUUUCUGUUUUUGGUAAAUAAAAAAGUGAAAUCAUGACAUUUUUUUAAAGACCACUAAUAUGUUCUGAAUUUAAAAUUGCCAAAAUUAUUUUCUUAAAAAAAAAAAAAGUAGGUGGUGAUUAAAAAAAUUAAAUUAAGAUCCGUUGUAGCUUGGACUUCUUGGCCCGCAGGGGAUAAAGGGAAGUGUCGUGAAGCUGCACGCAACCUGCCAUGUGUUUUCCAUUGAGCGUGCCGUGCUUCACGAGGUGAUAAAGUUAGUAAGUUUAAUUCCGCGUAUGGGCAACGCAUGCUUGCGUGUCAACUAAACCACCAAACCAUUAAAUGGUAGACAGCUGUUCACGCAUCGCCAUUAAAAUAUCUUCAACUGCUUUUUCGUAACAAACACAUGGUUCUGUGCCGUCCACGUAGCGAACAAAUUUACCGUCGAUCUCUCGUCGAACGCAUACCUGUUGAUCAUAAGUUCGGUUUGUUCCGAUGGCGUCUGCAUCGGUCUUAAAUUGUGCGUUGCCUCGUUGUUGCUCCAUAGCAAGUUUGCCUUGCCGGCCGAUAUCCAUUCGCAACAAGACGUUUCGGUGAUGAACGCAGACGGCUGAAUCAGAUAGGAGCCUUCUGAUUAUAGUGAUGAAGGGUUUCAGAUCGCUAAUUUGCUAAUUAUGUAAAACUUGGCGAAGGUUGUAACCUCUUUUAAUAAAUUGGGGAUAAAAGGCUAAUAAUUUCUUCGCCAGUCCCCUAAUUGAUUUGGUAUUUUGUGAGCCGACCUUUGCCAUGGCAGGUGCGCUUGCAUGGCAGGUCAAAAAGAAACAUAAUAAAAAUAUUUGAUUUGGUUUUUCAGAGGAGAGGUCGCACGUGGUUUUGCCCGGGAUCUCUCCUCUGGUGUGUGCUUUGGCUGUUCUUGCUGCUUUUUUCUUCUCUCAUAAUCAUUCAAAUCCUAUACGCAGAAUUUUCCGAGCUACAACUUCAGUCGCUCAUCUCGUUCAUGGUAGAUCCAUCUGCAAAGGUACAUUGAAUGUUCUAUCCCUCCUAUUAUUAUUUCUUUAAUUAAUUUAAUGGCCGUAGCAAAUCCUGCUAAAUAUAUGGUAGCCUGGUUCAAAUAUUGGAAUAACAAAUGCGGCUUUGCUUUUUAUAUUGUUUUUGGCAUGAACUGCUGUUAGUUUUAGUCGCAUUUACAUUGGAGCUAGAAAUACAAAUGACGAAUUGGAGAAUCGGCAUGACAUUUAUAUAUUGAUAUUUGGUCAUCCUCGCAUACGUACAUGCUUUAAUCUUCCUACAAUUCCCAUUCAUACAUGCUUAAAUCUUCCUGCAAUUUUGGUAUUUGUUUAUUUAUAGUUUUUGACUUUUUAAUGCAGUUAGUAAUUAACUUGAACCGAAAUUAAUCGAUGAGUGAGGCUUUAGCAUCCCCACAAAAAAAAAAAAAAAAAAAAAAAAAACAUGAUUACGCCGUUAUACGUGUGUAGUUAUUUUAUUUAUUUAAUUUGAUUUCUUUUGGAAGUACUUAAACUUGUUUUAAAUGCGUGUUUAACUGUACUGACGAAUAAUUAGUUCGUGAAUUGAGAGCUGUACGUGUUGUUGUAUCAAAUAGUUAUAUGGAAGUAGAUUAUUCUAUGUAAAUGGACAUACUAGUGUGUGACGUUAAGCACCACAAAAGUGCUCGUAAUCAAAUAGAAAUUUUCGCUGCUGUGCUUGUGGAUGACUUUCCUGCAAGGAGAAAGAUGUGUAUCGUUGUCGGGUGGUGGAAUCUUUAUUGUUAAAUAUGUUUUCCAUUUAUCGCCAUUCGAAGCAAUUAAUCUGAGACGACAGGGGUCGUGAAAACGAGAGUUUGUAUCAUAAUGUUAAAAAGAGUACGAUGAGCAGCAGCCGAGGAAAUGAAAUCACGUUAUGGUUGUGUAUCAUUUAGUAAUUGUUGCGAUUUCUUACUAUUCAUUCGUCUAUUGAAUUGUUGAAUCUCUAAUGAUUAGCUGCUCCAAAUGUCAAUAUUUUGUUAUGUUCUAUUUAUCUAACAAAUUGUAUUUUGCUACUGUGCUUAUUAUACGCAUUUCUGUAAAUUUAUUUACUUAUUUAUUUUUUUGGGGCUAA
Ziziphus jujuba (common jujube) is the source of this 6099-nucleotide long non-coding RNA. RefSeq lists it as uncharacterized. Lineage: Eukaryota; Viridiplantae; Streptophyta; Magnoliopsida; Rosales; Rhamnaceae. The transcript has 3 exons. The record is from RefSeq and is a predicted model, not a curated record.